AAAUUGAAGAGUUUGAUCAUGGCUCAGAUUGAACGCUGGCGGCAGGCCUAACACAUGCAAGUCGAACGGUAACAGGAAGAAGCUUGCUUCUUUGCUGACGAGUGGCGGACGGGUGAGUAAUGUCUGGGAAACUGCCUGAUGGAGGGGGAUAACUACUGGAAACGGUAGCUAAUACCGCAUAACGUCGCAAGACCAAAGAGGGGGACCUUC
RNAcentral lists this ribosomal RNA (210 nucleotides) under Escherichia coli. Its description in RNAcentral is "partial 16S ribosomal RNA". It matches the Rfam family "Bacterial small subunit ribosomal RNA", at positions 1 to 218 of the family's 1533-position model. The record is from RNAcentral. Lineage: Bacteria; Pseudomonadati; Pseudomonadota; Gammaproteobacteria; Enterobacterales; Enterobacteriaceae.